CAAACUAGAGAUGGCGACCGGCGCACGGGUGAGUAACACGUAUCCAACCUGCCGAUAACUCGGGGAUAGCCUUUCGAAAGAAAGAUUAAUAUCCGAUAGCAUAUAUUUCCCGCAUGGGUUUUAUAUUAAAGAAAUUCGGUAUGAGAUGGGGAUGCGUUCCAUUAGUUUGUUGGGGGGGUAACGGCCCACCAAGACUACGAUGGAUAGGGGUUCUGAGAGGAAGGUCCCCCACAUUGGAACUGAGACACGGUCCAA
RNAcentral lists this ribosomal RNA (255 nucleotides) under uncultured bacterium. RNAcentral's name for it is "partial 16S ribosomal RNA". It matches the Rfam family "Bacterial small subunit ribosomal RNA", at positions 77 to 334 of the family's 1533-position model. The record is from RNAcentral.